This 68-nucleotide non-coding RNA is filed under the name Planctomycetota bacterium. RNAcentral describes it as "Planctomycetes bacterium Fluoride sequence". It matches the Rfam family "Fluoride riboswitch aptamer (crcB RNA motif)". Lineage: Bacteria; Pseudomonadati; Planctomycetota. The record is from RNAcentral.
AAAUAUAUAGGCGAUGAGGUUCGCCAAGUAACUGCCUUUAUAAAAAGGACGAUGACCUCUACCAACAA